RNAcentral lists this ribosomal RNA (382 nucleotides) under Bacteroides fragilis. Its description in RNAcentral is "bacterial SSU rRNA". It matches the Rfam family "Bacterial small subunit ribosomal RNA", at positions 1010 to 1392 of the family's 1533-position model. The record is from RNAcentral. Lineage: Bacteria; Pseudomonadati; Bacteroidota; Bacteroidia; Bacteroidales; Bacteroidaceae.
UGUCAGUGAGCAAUCACCGCUGUGAAGGUGCUGCAUGGUUGUCGUCAGCUCGUGCCGUGAGGUGUCGGCUUAAGUGCCAUAACGAGCGCAACCCUUAUCUUUAGUUACUAACAGGUUAUGCUGAGGACUCUAGAGAGACUGCCGUCGUAAGAUGUGAGGAAGGUGGGGAUGACGUCAAAUCAGCACGGCCCUUACGUCCGGGGCUACACACGUGUUACAAUGGGGGGUACAGAAGGCAGCUAGCGGGUGACCGUAUGCUAAUCCCAAAAUCCUCUCUCAGUUCGGAUCGAAGUCUGCAACCCGACUUCGUGAAGCUGGAUUCGCUAGUAAUCGCGCAUCAGCCACGGCGCGGUGAAUACGUUCCCGGGUCUUGUACACACCG